Molecule: unclassified non-coding RNA, 357 nt
Filed under: soil metagenome
Description: partial contains 5.8S ribosomal RNA, internal transcribed spacer 2, and large subunit ribosomal RNA
Rfam family: 5.8S ribosomal RNA (bases 1-120)
Source: RNAcentral
GAUGAAGAACGUAGCGAAAUGCGAUAAGUAAUGUGAAUUGCAGAAUUCAGUGAAUCAUCGAAUCUUUGAACGCACAUUGCGCCCGCUGGUAUUCCGGCGGGCAUGCCUGUUCGAGCGUCAUUUCAACCCUCAAGCUCUCCGGAGUUUGGUGUUGGGGCGCCUGGGGCUUUUCGACCUCAGGGCCCUCAAGUCCAUCGGCGGGACCGCCAGGACACUGAGCGCAGUAGUAUUAUUUCGCUCGGUAGGAUCUACCACGGCGGGUCGAUCUGGCCGCUAAACCCCCCAAUUCUCACCAAAGGUUGACCUCGGAUCAGGUAGGAAUACCCGCUGAACUUAAGCAUAUCAAUAAGCGGAGGA